RNAcentral lists this ribosomal RNA (254 nucleotides) under uncultured bacterium. RNAcentral describes it as "partial 16S ribosomal RNA". It matches the Rfam family "Bacterial small subunit ribosomal RNA", at positions 524 to 776 of the family's 1533-position model. The record is from RNAcentral.
UACGUAGGUGGCAAGCGUUUGUCCGGAUUUAUUGGGUUUAAAGGGUGCGUAGGCGGUUUUGUAAGUCAGUGGUGAAAUACUCUAGCUUAACUAGAGGGGUGCCAAUGAUACUGCGGAACUUGAGUACAGAUGAGGUAGGCGGAAUUGACGGUGUAGCGGUGAAAUGCAUAGAUAUCGUCAAGAACACCGAUAGCGAAGGCAGCUUACUGGGCUGUAACUGACGCUGAUGCACGAAAGUGUGGGGAUCAAACAGG